AUGGAGAGGAUGUGGCUGCAAGAUGUCCAACAGAUUUGCAGGGUCACUUGGAGAUUGAAGAUCUCAUGAGAAGUUUGGUCUCCCCCCAUGGAGGAAACUCAGUUCAGUUAGGAGACUUGCUCCACCACCCCUUUUUCUGGACCCAUGAGAGCAGGUUUGAGUUUCUUGUGGACGUUGGGAAUAAUCCAGACAUCGAAAAAUACAAUGCUGAGAGUCAGAUUGUGAAAGCUUUGAAUUGCAAUAAGGCAACAACUGGGAAGCACUUCUACCAGUGGACUAAGAAGUGUCAUCAUAGUCCUUUCUGCUUGAUGGUUGUUUGGACUACUGGCUGUAUUCAACUUUUACUCAAUCUGCUCAUGUUCUGUGUCCACCAUGUCUUCAAAGACAGGAUACCUAUUGCUGUUGACAAGGCUGAAGAUUGAUCAAGAUGUUCUGGAAAACAUGGAAAAGAGACGCCCCUCCAUAAAGGUUCAAGGAAAUAAUCCAGAACCCAUCACAGUAUUUUGUUGACCGGUUUCCAGAUCUGACAUUUUAUGUCUAUGAGCAUUUGUGCCAUGUGGACAGAGGUUGGUGGGAUUUAAUUACCUAUUUGGUGAAUGCCUCCAGUUCUCUAGCAUCUCCAAAAAGGGGAUCAGAGUGAGAACAUGAGAUGGAUUCAGAGGCUCAUGUGGUUUGUUUAGAGUCUGAAGGGACAGGAAUUCACCGUGGAGGUUGCUCUGCUUAUUUUUAUUUAGAGGCAGACAGAUAGGCACUAGGAACACAUCUAGCGAACAGAACUUUUUAUUCUCUGCACUUGCUAGCAUCUGAGCAGAAAGUUUCUCUGUGCAUGUUGCUUGAAACUCAGAACUUUUUUCAACCAUUGCAGCAUCCACUAAUAACAUUGGAGCACUAGGCUUCCCGCUGUCUCUGUGAAGGGGAAAAACACUUUACAUCACAGGCUGCAAUGACCUCUGGGCAGUUAUCAAGCCAGAAGGAUAGUGGGGGACGGAUACAGCUCCCUUAGGCCUUGUUUACACUGGGGAUUUCAGCCAGCAUGGUAGCUGCACUAGUGUAGGCAGGCAAAGCGGCUUUAAACUGCGGUUAGGUUAGCAACGAUGCAGCUUGCCCCUGCUUCAAGCAGUCUCAAGCUCCCCCAGCGCAAAUUGCAGCUUGUAGAGCUUUUGCCUGCCCACACUGGGGGUUUGUACUGGUGCAGCUACCUUGGUGGCUGGUGGCUGUAACUGGGGCAUAUCCCCAGAGUAGACAAGCCGGGCCGGUGCAACCGUUUAGGCGCCCUAGGGUGCUAGGAUUUGGGGGGCGCCAUUUUCUUCGGCAGUGACCACAACGGCCGGAUCUUCAGCUGCCCCGGUUGUUGUCGGCAUUUCAGCGGAGGGAGCUGGGGCAGGGGAGUGCAGGGAGGGUCACCUGCAGUAAGUAAGCGGGGGGCGGCAUGCAGGGGAACUCCCCGCCCCAGCUCACCCCUGCCCUGCCUCCUCCCCAAGCAUGUGGUGGCUGCUUCACUUCUCCCGUCUCCCAGGCUUGUGGCACCAAUCAGCUCGGGGUGCUCGGGCUUGUGCUCAUGUGCAGA
This is a long non-coding RNA of Gopherus evgoodei (Goodes thornscrub tortoise), 1567 nucleotides long. The record is from Ensembl. Lineage: Eukaryota; Metazoa; Chordata; Testudines; Testudinidae.